AGCUUUUCGAAUCCGUGCUGAGAAUUCGUCAGCCACCAACCCAAUAUGGCUGGUCAGACUCCCAAGAUAAGUGAAGUU
RNAcentral lists this microRNA precursor (78 nucleotides) under Schistosoma mattheei. RNAcentral's name for it is "mir-3492 microRNA precursor family". It matches the Rfam family "mir-3492 microRNA precursor family". The record is from Rfam by way of RNAcentral. Lineage: Eukaryota; Metazoa; Platyhelminthes; Trematoda; Strigeidida; Schistosomatidae.